This 435-nucleotide ribosomal RNA is filed under the name Streptococcus sp. oral taxon 068. RNAcentral's name for it is "bacterial SSU rRNA". It matches the Rfam family "Bacterial small subunit ribosomal RNA", at positions 28 to 453 of the family's 1533-position model. Lineage: Bacteria; Bacillati; Bacillota; Bacilli; Lactobacillales; Streptococcaceae. The record is from RNAcentral.
GAUGAACGCUGGCGGCGUGCCUAAUACAUGCAAGUAGAACGCUGAAGCUUGGUGCUUGCACCGAGCGGAUGAGUUGCGAACGGGUGAGUAACGCGUAGGUAACCUGCCUGGUAGCGGGGGAUAACUAUUGGAAACGAUAGCUAAUACCGCAUAACAGUCGACAUUGCAUGAUGUUGAUUUGAAAGGGGCAAUUGCUCCACUACCAGAUGGACCUGCGUUGUAUUAGCUAGUUGGUGAGGUAACGGCUCACCAAGGCGACGAUACAUAGCCGACCUGAGAGGGUGAUCGGCCACACUGGGACUGAGACACGGCCCAGACUCCUACGGGAGGCAGCAGUAGGGAAUCUUCGGCAAUGGGGGCAACCCUGACCGAGCAACGCCGCGUGAGUGAAGAAGGUUUUCGGAUCGUAAAGCUCUGUUGUAAGAGAAGAACGAG